UUUUCAAAUACUCAGGGCAGAGAUAAACCACGAUCAUUUGCACAAGGACAGGACUCUUUGAACUAGGGAAAUGCAAACUGGCAACUCAACGGCAAACCGUUAGCAUUACAAGCGGCCAAUUUUAAAAGGUCAAUAUACCAAACUAACGGUAUUCAUCAAAGCAGCAACAUAUAAUCCUAACGUUUCAUUUAUAAAGUGCGCCGUGUGUGAUGGCAACAAAACCCAGGAGCCGAGGGAGGACGAGCCGAGCUGACGUAGUUGGGGGGAGAGACCCGCUCCCAGGAAGACUCUCGCCAGGAUGGGUCUGGAACCACCGCUGCUGAACUUCAUGUGCAAGGGCAGCUGGCAGGUGCGUUUUAGGGGACGCGGUGCCGUAAAGCCGCCCUAAUCACGCACCAUGGCCCGGGGCCGACGCUGACAAGUAGGUCUGCGGGGUCAGGACCCGAAGGCCAGAGACAGAAUCACACAUUUGUGGGAAUUUUACAAACGAUGACGCUUGCAUCUCACACCCCGGAGGACCAGUGAGUGACGCGGUGUCUGCGGCCGUGCCUCUGAGCCGGGGGACGUCACCCCGCUCUGCCUUCCACGGAGCCCAGCGAGGCGUGGGCGGCUCCCACCUUGGUUGUGUGUUUGCCUCUUUGUUGAGUGAGAGGAGCCUGGACCUUCCGAAAGGGGCGGAGGAGGCGCUGGGAGCGGACACACCACUUGGCUGAGGAGGGAAGCCCACGGGAGGGGACGCACUGAGGGUACGGGCUGGUCACCAUGGUCAGAGGACAGCAUUGGCCACGCCGCCUAGCCCCCCUGUGCAUUUCCAGGGACAAAAGCAGGACUUGGUGGCCAGGGACUUGUGACCAGCAAGGAGGCGGAGCUCUGCACUAGGUCCAGAAGCCUGAUGCACGCGGAGCCUGGUAACUCACUUCACACACUGAAGAGCAGGGCACCCAGAGGGCGAGAGCUGCAUGAACUGGGAUGUCUGUGCUCCCCAGGAGAACCACUCCUCAGCGGGGUCCUGGGCCCGUCCACACCUGCACCCACUUCCGCCAACUGUCUCCCCAGCCCGUGUCUGCUGCCAACGUCUCCAGAGACCCUGGGCCUCUGUGUCUCGGCCACCUCUGGACUGGGAUGUGGGGUGUCCAGUACUGACCCUUCUGAGACCUGGAGGAGUGAUGAGACUGGGGCUCUAACAGGUGUGACCCCAGGACGCACAGAGCUCACCUGCUGGACCCCAGGCCAGAGGGCUUCCUUCUUCUCCUCUCAGGUGACUCCUGUGGCUCACCCUUUGCGGGGGAUGGAGGGGUUUGGGGUAGGGGUAGCUCUUAGCUCUCGGGGGCGGGAGAGACGUGGCCUGGCUGUGUGUGCACCAGAUUUGCCCUCCCAGCCCCUGCCGCCUGCCCAGGCUUGGGGCACCCCUACUCUCUCCUUCCAUCCCUCUGUCAAAGGACGCUCUUGCCCUCUUGUGGCAAAGUCCCCUCUAGUGGACGCUGGAUGGGGUGGGUGUGUGGUGUGAGUGGUCAGACUUCACACGGAGGACUUCUGACUCCUGUUGACCAGGGGAGGGAGAAAGUCAGGUUUGUUUGUUUUUUUUAACAAACUUUUCUUUUUUCUCUUUAUUAAAGAGUCAUGAACCUCUCCUGGGUCAUUCUGGGUAAGGAAUGUAAUCGAGGGGUUAAUCAGUGGAGGCAGGAGUGGGGAGGGCAGAGAGGGAGGAGGGGAGUGGAGGGGAGAGGACAGAGAGGAGGGGGGGACCUUCCAAGUGUCCAGGUGUCCAAUGAAGGGGCUGAUUUUCCGUGUCACCCUGACGGGGCUGAGGGCACCCCGAUAGCUGGUGCAACAGCCACUUCCGGGUGUGUGUGUGGUGUGCACAGAACACAUCAGCCUCUGAACUGGUGGACGGAGUAAGAUCACCGUCCCCGAGGUGGGGGGGGCUUCACCCAACCCAUCGAGGGCCUGGAUGGAGUGAAAAGGGGGGGCAAACUGUGUCUCCCUUGCUGAGCUGGGACGUCCCUGUCGUCCUGCUCCUCUGACCGUGGAGCUCAGGUCUCGGGCCCUUGGACUCGGGCUGACUGACCGCACGGGCUCCCCUGGCCUCCAGCGCCCCUGCCUCCAGCUCGCAGACGGAGGCCCCGGGCCUCAGGCCUCCACCCUGGCGAGCCGAUCCGGCAAUGCCGACCUCACACCGUCGGUAGAUGUCCUGUUGGUUCCGUUUCUCCGGAGAACCAGGGUCCUGACUUGAACAAAUCUGCUGGAGUAAAGGCAUCUGGAGCAGCGGGGCCCACGCGCGUGGACGGUGCCCGGGGCGAUGUUAUAACAUAAUUAGGGAAUGUGGAGGCGAAUUAAUGACGUGGUGGCUGUGAGAAAACAUCCUACUUCUCAGGGACACAACAGAAAUGUUUCAAAUGGAACAAGCUGAUGUCAAUCAUUUGCUUUAGUGUAAUUUGGGCAACGCAAGACUGACCUGAUGCCGAUGCAGUGAGCACGGGGGGAGGGCGCAAGUGCCGAGUCUGGGGGCGCACACAGGCCCACGCUUCAUCUCUCUGUUUCCGUGAAUGGUUGAAAAAUGCUAGAAACUCAGGAAUAUGUUUCGAGAUGGCUUUACUAGGAGGCAUGAAAGAUCAAGAGAGAAUCAACCCCGGUGAAGAGGGUUCAUCUGGGGGCUUAAGGGCGGGUCCAGAGAUAGGAGGGUCCGCCCUGGCGCCUCCUGGAGCAGAACCCACAGUUGGCUGGUGUGUGCUCCACACGCCCAGGGACAGCGGGCAGGCCACCUGGGUCUAGACACCUCCAGCUAAAACUGGCUGGAACAAUAAAGCCACCGAAGAAUUCCGCGUGAGGAGAAGC
This 2835-nucleotide long non-coding RNA is filed under the name Vulpes vulpes (red fox). RNAcentral describes it as "lncRNA (ENSVVUG00000023902.1)". Lineage: Eukaryota; Metazoa; Chordata; Mammalia; Carnivora; Canidae. The record is from RNAcentral.